Molecule: ribosomal RNA, 468 nt
Filed under: Lasioptera rubi
Lineage: Eukaryota; Metazoa; Arthropoda; Insecta; Diptera; Cecidomyiidae
Description: partial large subunit ribosomal RNA
Rfam family: Bacterial large subunit ribosomal RNA (bases 1-80)
Source: RNAcentral
CGAAACCGAUAGCGAACAAGUACCGUGAGGGAAAGUUGAAAAGUACUCUGAAUAGAGAGUUAAAUAGUACGUGAAACCGCUUAGGGGUUAAGCCCGAUGAACCCGAAUAUCUGAUGUGAGAAAUUCAAUAUUAUUUAAUGUGAUUCUUUUUUGAAUUUAUAUUGAAUAGUAUGCACUUUUCUCAUAGUAAGACAUUGUAAUCCAUUGAUAUUAUAUCUUUAUUUGUUUAAAGAUGAUUUAACAUACGGACAAAAUGUAUAUGAUUAUUCUAUCAAUGAUAUGUUUUACAUGUCAUAUGAAUAAAAUCGUUUUGUACCUGUUUAAAUAGUCGAUGGAUUUUUUAAUUAAAAUCAUGCUUGCAAUUUAUUUUGCGUUUCGUAUCAUUAAUUUUUAAUUGAAGAUAGCAGAAAUGGCAUGUAUUUGAUUAACAAUGCGAUAGAUUUGGGAUACUUUCAGGACCCGUCUUGA